Molecule: long non-coding RNA, 1778 nt
Organism: Anser brachyrhynchus (Pink-footed goose)
Lineage: Eukaryota; Metazoa; Chordata; Aves; Anseriformes; Anatidae
Source: Ensembl
UAUGCAGAGUAUACCCACCCUCCCGUAUGAAUCGAACAAGCAACAUUUGUGUGUGUAUGUGUAAAGUCAUGCCACAUCACUUUAAAAGGGGCACUGAUGAGGUACAGUUUUGAUCUCAGAUAGCUCAGCUUUUCAGUCCAACCAGCGCUGUUACAUUUUUCUCAGCCUGACAAGUAUCUGCAGGACUCUGGCUUCUGAUGUGCUUCAGCAUUAAAGCACUCCUUGUAAUCACAGGAGAUUUUGAUGUUGUAGUUUACCCCUACAAGUACGGGCUCCUCCUUAACAUCCGGGUUUCUCUUGGAUUAUGUGUAAUGAUGAAAUAGGCCCAAAAUCAUAUAAAGCUGAAAUAGCAAGUUUAUAACAAAGGGUUACAUUCAAAAAAAAAAAAAAGGCUUUACAAAUUUAGAACAAAAGCUGUCUCUGGAUGACUAGUCACAUGGUAGCGCUUGUUGCUUUAUAUGCCCUAUUUAUAUACCCUAUCUUCCUCGGACAGAAAUGUCCUAGCAGGGAGGGGAGGAGAAAGGAUUUGAACAGCUCCUUGUCCUGGCCAGUAUGAGGUCAUUUGUGGUCUUCUACCUUUGGUCACAGCUCACGCCUCACCUCUGUCAUGAAACUCUUCCAGAACAGAGGCAUUCCCACCUCUGAUGCUGGCCCGUGGGGACUCACGCAGACGGAGGACUUGGAGCCAAGAAGCCCUGAUACACGCUGUGUGCCCUGCUCAGCCCUUGCAGACCCUCAGUGUGGACCCAUCUCUAGAAAUGAUGCUGCAGAGCUGUAACACCGCCUGUUAGCUGUCUAAAAAAAUCUGUGUGGAAGUAGGACUUCCAAAUGGCAAUUCGAGUUUCUGAGAUAGUGCACAGGAGCCAGAAAACUGCUGAGGUCCAAUUCAUGAUGUUUUCUGUUUUACAAUCAAAUAACUCAAUUGUUUUAGCAGGUUUCCUAAGAAAACAACAUGGUUUUGAUUAGACUGUCUGAUCAUCUGUCUGUCAUUCCUUCUGCCCCAGUCCCUUUUUUAAAACCCCAUGGCCAAUUUCCAAGCACUUAAGCCUCGAAGAUGACUGUAUUCUCAUAGCUGGACUAAGAAUUGGCAGCUGGAUGAGGAGGGAGACCAAAAUUCUUGCUGCGACUGAAAGAAAAACAGGCACAGCUCAGCUGCUAUGAAUACUGCUAGCAGCUGGCUGGCUGACCAGCACCCAUGUAAAUCCGGUUUGCAAAGCUUUUGCCCCACUGGGAUAUUAGCAAGGACAAAGGGCACCAAUCUCAAGGAAAUUAAGUUUCAUACACACAUUCUGUGGGCCAAAGCCAACUUGUUUUAAAUAUCAAAGCACAAUUCUUUCACUUCCAAAUGUGAAGUUCAUCCAGGAACAAUACAGAAAUACUGUGCUUGUAAAUUCAGAUAGAGCAAGGAAUUGAGGCUCCCAGCUUCACGCUGGGUUGCUAACUUGCUGCUCAUUCCAUACUUAGCUGAAAUGAAUGAAAUCAUCCAUAAUCCCAGAUCUGUGCUGAUAGAUCCCAAGCACCAUCAUUCCUAGAAUCCUGCUGGCACAGGAUCUGGCAUCCUUCCUGAACCCUGAAGCUCAUGGGGAAAACAGGUUCAUGGCAGAUGAGCUUCUGCAAUGAAACAGAUACUGUGAAUGAUGUUUCAUGUGAAGGAAAUUAAGUAACUAGCUGUCUAAAGACCAUUGUUAGAACUGUGGGUUUUUUUUCCCUACUGGACAGUUUCUACCCAUGGCUGGUCACUAACCCUUUAUCAUAGCAUGUAACUCUAUAUUCAUUUC